Molecule: long non-coding RNA, 306 nt
Organism: Meriones unguiculatus (Mongolian gerbil)
Lineage: Eukaryota; Metazoa; Chordata; Mammalia; Rodentia; Muridae
Exons: 3
Source: RefSeq, a predicted model, not a curated record
GCGGCGAUUCCUCUUGGGACUCUUAGGACUUCCGUGACCAGCAAGAGCUCUGAAGUGAGAAACGAAGGGAUAAAGAGAUUAAACCAGAAGAAAAUGAUGUGGUGACCAUUUCUGAGCCCAGCUAUUCCAUAUGGAAUGCAGUGUCCCAUGCCCUCCAUAAAACGCUGUUGAACAAAAUUGAAAUGGGAUCUAAAGCAUACAGAAACAUGGACCGGCUUCUUCCAUGCCAGGAUGCAUUGACCUAUGAUGAUGUGCAUGUGAACUUCACUCGGGAAGAGUGGGCUUUGCUGGAUCCUUCCCAGAAGA